RNAcentral lists this ribosomal RNA (492 nucleotides) under uncultured bacterium. RNAcentral's name for it is "partial 16S ribosomal RNA". It matches the Rfam family "Bacterial small subunit ribosomal RNA", at positions 29 to 507 of the family's 1533-position model. The record is from RNAcentral.
AGUGAACGCUGGCGGUAGGCCUAACACAUGCAAGUCGAACGGCAGCACAGUAAGAGCUUGCUCUUACGGGUGGCGAGUGGCGGACGGGUGAGGAAUACAUCGGAAUCUACUUUUUCGUGGGGGAUAACGUAGGGAAACUUACGCUAAUACCGCAUACGACCUACGGGUGAAAGCAGGGGAUCUUCGGACCUUGCGCGAUUGAGUGAGCCGAUGUCGGAUUAGCUAGUUGGCGGGGUAAAGGCCCACCAAGGCGACGAUCCGUAGCUGGUCUGAGAGGAUGAUCAGCCACACUGGAACUGAGACACGGUCCAGACUCCUACGGGAGGCAGCAGUGGGGAAUAUUGGACAAUGGGCGCAAGCCUGAUCCAGCCAUACCGCGUGGGUGGAGAAGGCCUUCGGGUUGUAAAGCCCUUUUGUUGGGAAAGAAAAGCAGCAGGUUAAUACCCCGCUGUUCUGACGGUACCCAAAGAAUAAGCACCGGCUAACUUCGUG